RNAcentral lists this transfer RNA (74 nucleotides) under Desulfofustis sp. PB-SRB1. RNAcentral describes it as "tRNA-Ile". It matches the Rfam family "tRNA". Rfam says of the family: Transfer RNA (tRNA) molecules are approximately 80 nucleotides in length. Their secondary structure includes four short double-helical elements and three loops (D, anti-codon, and T loops). Further hydrogen bonds mediate the characteristic L-shaped molecular structure. tRNAs have two regions of fundamental functional importance: the anti-codon, which is responsible for specific mRNA codon recognition, and the 3' end, to which the tRNAs corresponding amino acid is attached (by aminoacyl-tRNA synthetases). tRNAs cope with the degeneracy of the genetic code in two manners: having more than one tRNA (with a specific anti-codon) for a particular amino acid; and 'wobble' base-pairing, i.e. permitting non-standard base-pairing at the 3rd anti-codon position. The record is from RNAcentral. RNAcentral also lists the same sequence under 1 other name. Lineage: Bacteria; Pseudomonadati; Thermodesulfobacteriota; Desulfobulbia; Desulfobulbales; Desulfocapsaceae.
GGGCGCAUAGCUCAGCUGGCUAGAGCCACCGGCUCAUAACCGGUCGGUCGUAGGUUCGAGUCCUACUGCGCCCA